CAACAAGGCUGCGCGAUCGCGCUAUAUUAUGCCGAAAGGUCGUAUAGCGAGGAAAGUCCGGGCUUCACAGGACAGGAUAACGGAUAACGUCCGCCGAGGGUGACCUCAGGAACAGUGCAACAGAAAUAAACCGCCGCGCAAGCGGUAAGGAUGGAAAGGCGAGGUAAGAGCUCACCAUCCCCUUGGUAACAAGGGGAGUCAUGUAAACUCUAUCCGAAGCAACGCCGUAGGGGCGGGCGCAAGCCCGGCGGUUGUCCGCCGUACUCCCCCUUGGGCGGCAACGCGCAAGCGUAAGCCAUGCGGUAACGCAGGGCGAAGAUAGAUGAUCGCGGCCCGCAAGGGCACAGAACCCGGCUUAUAUGCCUUUGUUGCUGC
RNAcentral lists this RNase P RNA (375 nucleotides) under Oscillospiraceae bacterium. RNAcentral's name for it is "RNase P RNA component class A". It matches the Rfam family "Bacterial RNase P class A". Rfam says of the family: Ribonuclease P (RNase P) is a ubiquitous endoribonuclease, found in archaea, bacteria and eukarya as well as chloroplasts and mitochondria. Its best characterised activity is the generation of mature 5'-ends of tRNAs by cleaving the 5'-leader elements of precursor-tRNAs. Cellular RNase Ps are ribonucleoproteins. Lineage: Bacteria; Bacillati; Bacillota; Clostridia; Eubacteriales; Oscillospiraceae. The record is from RNAcentral.